This 73-nucleotide transfer RNA is filed under the name Chaca bankanensis (angler catfish). RNAcentral describes it as "tRNA-Asn". It matches the Rfam family "tRNA". Rfam says of the family: Transfer RNA (tRNA) molecules are approximately 80 nucleotides in length. Their secondary structure includes four short double-helical elements and three loops (D, anti-codon, and T loops). Further hydrogen bonds mediate the characteristic L-shaped molecular structure. tRNAs have two regions of fundamental functional importance: the anti-codon, which is responsible for specific mRNA codon recognition, and the 3' end, to which the tRNAs corresponding amino acid is attached (by aminoacyl-tRNA synthetases). tRNAs cope with the degeneracy of the genetic code in two manners: having more than one tRNA (with a specific anti-codon) for a particular amino acid; and 'wobble' base-pairing, i.e. permitting non-standard base-pairing at the 3rd anti-codon position. The record is from RNAcentral. Lineage: Eukaryota; Metazoa; Chordata; Actinopteri; Siluriformes; Chacidae.
UAGAUGGAUGCCCGCUGGUUUAGGCGCUUAGCUGUUAACUAGGAGUUUGAGGGAUCGAGGCCUUCCCAUCUAG